GGGUUUACCGAUCGAAUCUCCUAUCGUUUUAGAUCAUCCACUGGAGGGACUCGACAUUGACAUAUCAUCGAUCGAGGGUUAUCUCCGGACACCUUCCCCGGAAGUUCAGGAUGAGCGACUCUGGUUACUUGCUGAUAUCCCGAGCUCGAC
Molecule: long non-coding RNA, 150 nt
Organism: Mangifera indica (mango)
Lineage: Eukaryota; Viridiplantae; Streptophyta; Magnoliopsida; Sapindales; Anacardiaceae
Exons: 3
Source: RefSeq, a predicted model, not a curated record